UGGAGAAAAGCAGGGGAUCGCAAGACCUUGCGCUUUUGGAGUGGCCGAUGCCUGAUUAGCUAGUUGGUGGGGUAAUGGCCUACCAAGGCGACGAUCAGUAGUUGGUCUGAGAGGACGACCAGCCACACUGGGACUGAGACACGGCCCAGACUCCUACGGGAGGCAGCAGUGGGGAAUUUUGGACAAUGGGCGAAAGCCUGAUCCAGCAAUGCCGCGUGAGUGAAGAAGGCCUUCGGGUUGUAAAGCUCUUUCAGUCGAGAAGAAAAGGUUGUGACUAAUAAUCGCAAUUCAUGACGGUAUCGACAGAAGAAGCACCGGCUAACUACGUGCCAGCAGCCGCGGUAAUACGUAGGGUGCGAGCGUUAAUCGGAAUUACUGGGCGUAAAGGGUGCGCAGGCGGCUUUGUAAGUCAGAUGUGA
Molecule: ribosomal RNA, 419 nt
Filed under: uncultured ammonia-oxidizing beta proteobacterium
Lineage: Bacteria; Pseudomonadati; Pseudomonadota; Betaproteobacteria
Description: bacterial SSU rRNA
Rfam family: Bacterial small subunit ribosomal RNA
Source: RNAcentral